Molecule: ribosomal RNA, 362 nt
Filed under: Theileria luwenshuni
Lineage: Eukaryota; Apicomplexa; Aconoidasida; Piroplasmida; Theileriidae
Description: SSU rRNA
Rfam family: Eukaryotic small subunit ribosomal RNA
Source: RNAcentral
UAUCGGUGCUAUGUCUUGUAUUGGAUGAUGGGAAUUUAAACCUCUUCCAGAGUAUCAAUUGGAGGGCAAGUCUGGUGCCAGCAGCCGCGGUAAUUCCAGCUCCAAUAGCGUAUAUUAAAAUUGUUGCAGUUAAAAAGCUCGUAGUUGAAUUUCUGCUGCAUUGCAUCUUCUUUUUGAUGAGUUGGUGUAUUGUGGCUUAUUUCGGAUGAUACUUGUAUUAUCCGGAUGAUUACUUUGAGAAAAUUAGAGUGCUCAAAGCAGGCUUUUGCCUUGAAUAGUUUAGCAUGGAAUAAUAAAGUAGGACUUUGGUUCUAUUUUGUUGGUUUUAGGUACCAAAGUAAUGGUUAAUAGAGAAGUUGGGG